Molecule: long non-coding RNA, 1159 nt
Filed under: Homo sapiens (human)
Lineage: Eukaryota; Metazoa; Chordata; Mammalia; Primates; Hominidae
Description: non-protein coding lnc-UGCG-2:1
Source: RNAcentral
AAAAAAAAAAAAAAAAAAAAUUGUGCUAAGUGAAAUGAGCUAGAUGCAAAAGGACAAAUCCUGUAGGAUUCCACUUAUGUGAAAUAUUUAGAACGGUCAAAUUCAUACAGACAGAAAGUAGAAAAGUGGUUACCAGGGGCUAGAGGGAGGAGAGAAUACAGAGCUAUUCUUUAAUAGGUACUGAGCUUCAGUUUGGGGUGAUGAAAGUAUUGCGGAGAUGGAUAGUGAUGAUGGUGGCUCAACAAUAUAAAGACGAGCAAGAAUGCCACUGAAAUGUACACUUUAAAUGAUUAAAAUGAAAAUUCUUAUAUAUAUUUUACCAUAGUUUUAAAAAAUCUAAUUAAAAAAAACUAAAGAAGGACAAAAAUGACUGAAAGUGAGGCCAGUGGACCUGGAGAGGUCAGGAUGAGGAAGACUUAGAGUGACUUGUGAGGUCCUGGGGACUGAUGAGCCAAGUGGGCACAGACAUUUCAGCACCGUUAUAGGGGGGAUAGGCAACCAAUACAAAAGAAACAGAUUAUUCAUCUUAGAAGAAGCCAACUAGGUGGUUUGCUGAAGCCCAUAAACCAUGUUCCUCUUUCCCAAAGUCAGGAUGAUAGACCACCCAGGAGGACUUGGAUCAUUCAGAACCUAGAUGUUACACCCCAAGAAGGGAGAGAAGGAAGUAAAAGGAGAAAAUCCUAAUUUGACUAUUUAACCAAAAAAGAUUGAGUUUAAACUGCAAGUAACUGAGAUUACUUUGGAUUACAGAGUUAGGUUUUCCAUUAUCAGUGAAAUAACCCAUGAGCUAAAGUGAGUUAUAAGGAAAUCAUUUACAUUUUGCACACAUGAAUGUGACUGAGAAAUGUAUUUCCAUUGUGUUGUUAUAUACCUUUUCUAAACCUAAAACUAAGGUGUUUCUCAAAUCUGUGGCAAUAAUGGGGCACUUUGGUGUGGAACAGGGAGUUCUUGGUUCAAGAUUAUUGCAUCUUCUUUGCACUCACCAUCUGAUACAACCACAUAGUCAUAUUGAUGGUCAUCUUCUAGACCAACCCCAGAACAUGGGUAUUUAUGAAGCUGGAUCUUUGGGGUACCUACAGUUAAAACAAUGAACAAACAUGGCUCUUCAGGUCCCAUGUGGCACCUAGGCCUUUGAGAACAUCUCUCUUUUUUUUUUUUU